This 76-nucleotide transfer RNA is filed under the name Snodgrassella alvi. RNAcentral describes it as "tRNA-Glu". It matches the Rfam family "tRNA". Rfam says of the family: Transfer RNA (tRNA) molecules are approximately 80 nucleotides in length. Their secondary structure includes four short double-helical elements and three loops (D, anti-codon, and T loops). Lineage: Bacteria; Pseudomonadati; Pseudomonadota; Betaproteobacteria; Neisseriales; Neisseriaceae. The record is from RNAcentral.
GCGCCUAUCGUCUAGCGGCCGAGGACACUGCCCUUUCACGGCAGCAACCGGGGUUCGAAUCCCUGUAGGCGUGCCA